GAUGAACGCUGGCGGCGUGCCUAAUACAUGCAAGUCGAGCGAACAGACGAGGAGCUUGCUCCUCUGACGUUAGCGGCGGACGGGUGAGUAACACGUGGAUAACCUACCUAUAAGACUGGGAUAACUUCGGGAAACCGGAGCUAAUACCGGAUAAUAUAUUGAACCGCAUGGUUCAAUAGUGAAAGACGGUUUUGCUGUCACUUAUAGAUGGAUCCGCGCCGCAUUAGCUAGUUGGUAAGGUAACGGCUUACCAAGGCAACGAUGCGUAGCCGACCUGAGAGGAGGAUAAGCAACACUGGAACUGUGACACGGUCCAGACGCCUACGGGAGGGAGCAGUGGGGAAUAUUGGACAAUGUGCGAAAGCCUGAUCCAGCUAUGACGCGUGUGUGAAGAAGGUCUUCGGAUUGUAAAGCAUUUUAAGUUGGGAGGAAGGGCAGUAAGCUAAUACCUGGCUGUUGUGACGGUACCAACAGAAUAAGCACCGGCUAACUUCGUG
RNAcentral lists this ribosomal RNA (497 nucleotides) under uncultured bacterium. RNAcentral describes it as "partial 16S ribosomal RNA". It matches the Rfam family "Bacterial small subunit ribosomal RNA", at positions 28 to 507 of the family's 1533-position model. The record is from RNAcentral.